This is a long non-coding RNA of Oreochromis aureus, 427 nucleotides long. The record is from Ensembl. NCBI's taxonomy places the organism in Eukaryota, Metazoa, Chordata, Actinopteri, Cichliformes, Cichlidae.
CGUGUACACUUGUGCACUUCAAAAAUUCAUUGUAUACUGUACCUUCUUGCACGUCUGUUUCCUGUGUGUGUUGUUAGAAAUCAAACUAACUUUAGGAAACAAUAUGCCAAAAGCAUAUUUACAAUUACUUAAGACCGUUUUUAAUUUCUUUUCUUUAGACCAAAUCCCCUGUACACAUAUACGGACUCAGAGGAUGAGCAACCUACAAAGAAACGGUUUCCCCAGGCCCCUCGAGUGAAAAUACCAGCCCUCAUCACUCCAGUCUGCCCCCCAGCCCACUGAUAGCAACCAUCAUAAUGCCCCACCCAGCUUCCGGCACCUUUCGCCACUCCGGCACAAACCGACACAGCUUUGCGAUCUCGCCAGCAUGCAGUCUGAUGUCUUCCCUAUAGAUGAUUCCAGAGACUCUGUGAGGCCACUAUUACAA